GAUGGUUCAACUCCUUCCCCUGCUA
This 25-nucleotide transfer RNA is filed under the name Sturnella magna. RNAcentral describes it as "partial tRNA-Met". Lineage: Eukaryota; Metazoa; Chordata; Aves; Passeriformes; Icteridae. The record is from RNAcentral.